This 58-nucleotide transfer RNA is filed under the name Escherichia coli. RNAcentral's name for it is "tRNA-Ile". It matches the Rfam family "tRNA", at positions 9 to 63 of the family's 71-position model. Rfam says of the family: Transfer RNA (tRNA) molecules are approximately 80 nucleotides in length. Their secondary structure includes four short double-helical elements and three loops (D, anti-codon, and T loops). Further hydrogen bonds mediate the characteristic L-shaped molecular structure. tRNAs have two regions of fundamental functional importance: the anti-codon, which is responsible for specific mRNA codon recognition, and the 3' end, to which the tRNAs corresponding amino acid is attached (by aminoacyl-tRNA synthetases). tRNAs cope with the degeneracy of the genetic code in two manners: having more than one tRNA (with a specific anti-codon) for a particular amino acid; and 'wobble' base-pairing, i.e. permitting non-standard base-pairing at the 3rd anti-codon position. Lineage: Bacteria; Pseudomonadati; Pseudomonadota; Gammaproteobacteria; Enterobacterales; Enterobacteriaceae. The record is from RNAcentral. RNAcentral also lists the same sequence under 1 other name.
AGCUCAGUGGUUAGAGCAGGCGACUCAUAAUCGCUUGGUCGUUGGUUCAAACCCAACA